This 222-nucleotide non-coding RNA is filed under the name Companilactobacillus ginsenosidimutans. Its description in RNAcentral is "Lactobacillus ginsenosidimutans T-box sequence". It matches the Rfam family "T-box leader". Rfam says of the family: Uncharged tRNA acts as the effector for transcription antitermination of genes in the T-box leader family. T-boxes are found upstream of many aminoacyl-tRNA synthetase genes and some amino acid biosynthetic genes usually in Gram-positive bacteria. Lineage: Bacteria; Bacillati; Bacillota; Bacilli; Lactobacillales; Lactobacillaceae. The record is from RNAcentral.
AUAAAAACGAUGACAGAAGGUAGCUGAGUCCCUUGGUUCAGAGAGUUGACGUUGGUGCGAGUCAAUCCAGUCCUCAGUGAAACACAUCUGUAAGUUAAUUAGCUGAAGUAAUAGUAGGCUUUUUCGGUAGUUCCGUUAUCACUGAAGUUAAUGUAACUUCAUGAGCCUAAAGUUGUGAGACUUUAGGAAGCCAGAGGUGGUACCGCGAAAGUCGCCCUCUUA